This 804-nucleotide long non-coding RNA is filed under the name Ornithorhynchus anatinus (platypus). RNAcentral describes it as "lncRNA (ENSOANG00000038111.1)". Lineage: Eukaryota; Metazoa; Chordata; Mammalia; Monotremata; Ornithorhynchidae. The record is from RNAcentral.
UGUCAACCAGGCCCCCUCCGCCCCCCCCCCGGGACCCAAGAGCCCGGGCCCGCCCCUGCCCGGCCCUGCCCUGCCCCCGCCCCGCACGGCCCCGCAGCCGGGCCGGAGGGUCGGCAAGGGAACCAGCUGCCAGCCGGAAGCUCUCCACCGGUCCCGGCCGGGCCAGAAAAUGAGGCCCAAGCGAGCCCCGGAGGCCCGUGGUCCCAGCCGGGCAAUGCCAGGCCCCCCGAGGGCGGCCCCUUCGCCUCCUGGACCCUGAACCUCUCCAUCUCCACAGGUGCCCAGCAGGAGACCACUACCUGGGAUUGGGUGGGAGAGCCAGCGGAACUGGGGUUUUGGAUCCUCACCUCCCGGGCCUGUCCUGCAAAGGAUGACCAGACUACCUGCCUGUUGUCCCUUGGAGGAGCCUGAGGCUGGUGUUCAGAGGAGCAUGGGUCGAGAGGGUGCUGGGGAGGGGGAGAGAGGCCUGGAAAGGGGUCCCAGCUGUUGCCGAGGCCCUUUAAACUAUUUUUUAUUUAUUUAUGUUCAUUCAUUCAUUCAAUAGUAUUUAUUGAGUGCUUACUAUGUGCAGAGCACUGUACUAAACGCUUGGAAUCUACAAAUUGGUAACAGAUAGAGACAGUCCCUGCCCUUUGACGGGCUUACAGUCUAAUCGGGGGAGACGGACAGACAAGAACAAUAGCAAUAAAUUGAAUCAAGAUAGCAAUAAAUUUGUAAAGUGCUUACUAUAUGCCCGGCACAGUUCUAAGCACUGGGGUAGGUACAAGCUAAUUGGGUUGCACACAGUCCCUGUCUCCCAUGGGG